GAUGAACGCUGGCGGCGCGCUUAACACAUGCAAGUCGAACGAGAAGUGAAGACGGAACCCUUCGGGCGGAAGGCUUUAUUUCGAGUGGCGGACGGGUGAGUAACGCGUGGGUAACCUGCCUCAUACAGGGGGAUAACAGUUGGAAACGACUGUUAAUACCGCAUAAGACCACAGCACCGCAUGGUGCGGGGGUAAAAACUCCGGUGGUAUGAGAUGGACCCGCGUUCGAUUAGCCAGUUGGCGGGGUAACGGCCCACCAAAGCGACGAUCGAUAGCCGAUCUGAGAGGAUGACCGGCCACAUUGGGACUGAGACACGGCCCAAACUCCUACGGGAGGCAGCAGUGGGGAAUAUUGCACAAUGGGGGAAACCCUGAUGCAGCGACGCCGCGUGAGUGAAGAAGUAUUUCGGUAUGUAAAGCUCUAUCAGCAGGGAAGAAAAUGACGGUACCUGAGUAAGAAGCCCCGGCUAACUACGUG
This 478-nucleotide ribosomal RNA is filed under the name uncultured bacterium. Its description in RNAcentral is "partial 16S ribosomal RNA". It matches the Rfam family "Bacterial small subunit ribosomal RNA", at positions 28 to 507 of the family's 1533-position model. The record is from RNAcentral.